GCCAGCUAACGCAUUAAGCACUCCGCCUGGGGAGUACGGUCGCAAGACUGAAACUCAAAGGAAUUGACGGGGGCCCGCACAAGCGGUGGAGCAUGUGGUUUAAUUCGAAGCAACGCGAAGAACCUUACCAGGUCUUGACAUCCUCUGACAACUCUAGAGAUAGAGCGUUCCCCUUCGGGGGACAGAGUGACAGGUGGUGCAUGGUGUCGUCAGCUCGUGUCGUGAGAUGUUGGGUUAAGUCCCGCAACGAGCGCAACCCUUGAUCUUAGUUGCCAGCAUUUAGUUGGGCACUCUAAGGUGACCGCCGGUGACAAACCGGAGGAAGGUGGGGAUGACGUCAAAUCAUCAUGCCCCUUAUGACCUGGGCUACACACGUGCUACAAUGGAUGGUACAAAGGGCUGCAAGACCGCGAGGUCAAGCCAAUCCCAUAAAACCAUUCUCAGUUCGGAUUGUAGGCUGCAACUCGCCUACAUGAAGCGGAAUCGCUAGUAAUCGCGGAUCAGCAUGCCGCGGUGAAUACGUUCCC
This 527-nucleotide ribosomal RNA is filed under the name Bacillus sp. JAMSTEC11. RNAcentral describes it as "bacterial SSU rRNA". It matches the Rfam family "Bacterial small subunit ribosomal RNA", at positions 847 to 1375 of the family's 1533-position model. The record is from RNAcentral. Lineage: Bacteria; Bacillati; Bacillota; Bacilli; Caryophanales; Bacillaceae.